CCCGUACCCCAAACCGACACAGGUGGGCAGGUAGAGAAUACCAAGGCGAUCGGGAGAACUGUGGUUAAGGAACUCGGCAAAAUGCCUCCGUAACUUCGGGAGAAGGAGGACCCCAUCAGGGUGAAGGACCUCGCGUCCGGAGCUCGAAGGGGUGGCACAGACCAGGGGAAAGCGACUGUUUACUAAAAACACAGCAGCGUGCGAAGUCGUAAGACGAUGUAUACGCUGUGACGCCUGCCCAAUGCCGGAAGGUUAAAGGGAAAGGUUAGCCCGCAAGGGCGAAGCUUUGAACUGAAGCCCCGGUGAAUGGCGGCCGUAACUAUAACGGUCCUAAGGUAGCGAAAUUCCUUGUCGGGUAAGUUCCGACCUGCACGAAUGGCGUAACGACUUUCCUACUGUCUCAACCACAGACCCGGCGAAAUUGAAGUACGAGUAAAGAUGCUCGUUAGCUGCAGAAGGACGGUAAGACCCCGUGGACCUUUACUAUAGCUUGAUGUUGAGUUUUGUUAUGUGUUGUGUAGGAUAGGUGGGAGACUUGGAAGCAUUGGCGCCAGCCAGUGUGGAGUCAACCUUGAAAUACCACCCUGCUCAUGACGGAGCUCUAACCCACGUCCCUGAUCGGGAUGGGGAACAGCGUCUGGUGGGUAGUUUGACUGGGGCGGUCGCCUCCUAAAGAGUAACGGAGGCGCCCAAAGGUUCCCUCAGGCUGGUUGGCAAUCAGCCGUCGAGUGCAAUGGCACAAGGGAGCUUGACUGCGAGACCUACAAGUCAAGCAGGUGCGAAAGCAGGGCAUAGUGAUCCGGCGGUUGCGUGUGGAAGCGCCGUCGCUCAACGGAUAAAAGGUACCCCGGGGAUAACAGGCUCAUCUUCCCCAAGAGUCCAUAUCGACGGGAAGGUUUGGCACCUCGAUGUCGGCUCAUCGCAUCCUGGGGCUGAAGCAGGUCCCAAGGGUUGGGCUGUUCGCCCAUUAAAGCGGUACGCGAGCUGGGUUUAGAACGUCGUGAGACAGUUCGGUCCCUAUCCUCUGCAGCCGGAAGGAACUUGAGAAAAUCUGUCCCUAGUACGAGAGGACCGGGAUGGACGCAGCUCUCGUGUGCCAGUUGUCCUGCCAAGGGCACUGCUGGUUAGCGACCUGCGGAAGGGAAAGCGCUGAAAGCAUCUAAGUGCGAAGCCCAUUUCUAGAUGGGGUUCCUCACUGGGUUAACCAGGUAAGGCCCGUGAUAGACCAACACGUUGAUAGGCCGGAAGUGUAAGCGUGGUAACACGUUCAGCUGACCGGUACUAAUCGGCCGAGGGCUUGGACU
RNAcentral lists this ribosomal RNA (1304 nucleotides) under metagenome. RNAcentral's name for it is "bacterial LSU rRNA". It matches the Rfam family "Bacterial large subunit ribosomal RNA", at positions 1641 to 2925 of the family's 2925-position model. The record is from RNAcentral.